GAUGAACGCUGGCGGCGUGCCUAAUACAUGCAAGUCGAGCGAACGGACGAGAAGCUUGCUUCUCUGAUGUUAGCGGCGGACGGGUGAGUAACACGUGGAUAACCUACCUAUAAGACUGGGAUAACUUCGGGAAACCGGAGCUAAUACCGGAUAAUAUUUUGAACCGCAUGGUUCAAAAGUGAAAGACGGUCUUGCUGUCACUUAUAGAUGGAUCCGCGCUGCAUUAGCUAGUUGGUAAGGUAACGGCUUACCAAGGCAACGAUGCAUAGCCGACCUGAGAGGGGCGAGCGCCACAAAGGGAACGGAACACCGGCCAAGCCCCCGAGGGGGGGAACAAGGAGGAAUUCUCCCCAAAGGGCGAAAGGCCGGAGGAAGAAACGCCGGGGGAAGAAUAAAGGUCUUAGAACCUAAAAACUUUUUUAUUAGGGAAAAACAUUGGGGAAAGAAACUGUGCACAUCUGGAGGUACCCUAAUAAAAAGACCAGGCCAAACUAGGGC
Molecule: ribosomal RNA, 498 nt
Filed under: uncultured bacterium
Lineage: Bacteria
Description: partial 16S ribosomal RNA
Rfam family: Bacterial small subunit ribosomal RNA
Source: RNAcentral